UGCAUGUUUCAGAAUAGUCAAGUAUUAUAAAAUGCUCAUAUAAUAAAGAAUCAAUGUCCAAAAAGUUGGGAUAGUAAUUUGAAGAAUAGCAUCAACAGUUAAUAAAAUAGAGCAAACCUCCAGUUUUAAAACAAAGGUAAGAUGCAGUAGAAAUUAUUUGAUUUUUCAUUUCAGUAAUACACACAAUAUAUAGAAUGCGAAAGAGAUUAAAAGAAGAGAUUCUCUCUUAUUACUUUCUGAAGCGACUCUGAGUGCUGCAAAAGGUAUUUUCCCACAAGAAAAAUGAAACUGCUCUAAAAUCUAAUCAAAUAAGUGAAAAGGGAACUUUUAAAGAAUUGUAGUGGACCAUCAAAAACUAAUGCUUUGUUUAAUAGUUAGAGAUUAAGGCUUUAAAAUCUUCAUUUCCAUAAUCCUGUUGUUCUUCCUGAAUUUGCUUAGCAGAUACUUAGACACCUUACAAGCAUGGAAAUACCUCAAUCAUCUGUAAUGUUAGAAUAUAUCCAAAACCCGGGAGGGAUCAUCUUCAAACAGUCCCAAUAUAGCAAUACUAGGCAUUGAAGUCUUGGGAAAUUAUCACUUGAAGCAUUCUAUUCUGCAAUCUGUACUACAUCUAGUUUCAAGAAUUUAAGUUGUGGAAAUUCAACUUCACUUGUCCCUUUGUCCUCCCUCAAAGGCAACCAUUUCUAAAGUGAGAACCUCAAAGUACUGCAAUAUCCCGACUAUCUCCAUUUGUUUCAGAGGCACAUGUUUAUUAACUAGAGUCAAUUUUUUGAGAUUUGAGGGCAAAAUGAUUAAACGGGAACAUGAUUGUGCCGCUUUCUUGUAGUCAGGUGAUAGCUUUAGUGAUUCUUAAGGCUGUAGAAAAAAUAGUUGAGUGAAGAUCUAAGCCUACCUUUCAGUCUACAAAGGUUGGGUGAACAUCUCAAAAUUUUCUCAUCUAUUUCAUCAGGAACUGAGAGUGUAGAAAUACUUUGUAAGUUAUUAUUUCUUAGGAAGUCCUUAUCAGUAGUUGCCUGCUGAUGGCAAAAGAUGCACUCAAAUAUUUAUCACCCCUAAAAUGUACGUCUCUCAAAAUCGUCAUAUUGAGAAGGAGACCUUGUAUUUCAAUUUGAUUAAGGUUUGUUUUGGAUUUUCGGUACUGAUUAUUAAAGUUUUUUAAAAUAUCCUUUCGACAUUUAUGAAUAAUAUGCUUUUGUAUGAUUUUUAGUAGCAAUUUUUAGAACAAUUUAACCCUUGUUCAAGAAUUUAUUAUCCACAAAGACAUUCCAGAUUGAGGUAUUAAGUAAAUAUUCUAUACGCCAAGAUUCAAAACCUAGAGUACUGCAACCUGGAACAAGGAUCAUUUUCAAGUAGGUGAGAAUCAAAUUAGUAACUGCUAAUUAUAGAGAUCUAUCUGCUAUAUUCAUUAUCUUGUUUUAUCUCUAGGCCUUAGGAAAACAAUUGAAGAACUUUCAUUUGAAAUUGAAUUAGAUCCUUGGAAGAAAAUUCUCUGUCUUCCAAUCCAGUCAAUAAACAAAAUUGAACAGUUG
Molecule: long non-coding RNA, 1529 nt
Filed under: Olea europaea subsp. europaea
Lineage: Eukaryota; Viridiplantae; Streptophyta; Magnoliopsida; Lamiales; Oleaceae
Source: RNAcentral